RNAcentral lists this ribosomal RNA (253 nucleotides) under uncultured bacterium. RNAcentral describes it as "partial 16S ribosomal RNA". It matches the Rfam family "Bacterial small subunit ribosomal RNA", at positions 524 to 776 of the family's 1533-position model. The record is from RNAcentral.
GACGUAGGGCGCGAGCGUUGUCCGGAUUUAUUGGGCGUAAAGGGUGUGUAGGUGGCGCGCUAAGUCGGGUGUGAAAUUUCGGAGCUUAACUCCGAAACUGCAUUCGAUACUGGCGUGCUUGAGGACUGGAGAGGAGACUGGAAUUCAUGGUGUAGCAGUGAAAUGCGUAGAGAUCAUGAGGAAGACCAGUGGCGAAGGCGGGUCUCUGGACAGUUCCUGACACUGAGACACGAAGGCCAGGGGAGCAAACGGG